Molecule: RNA transcript, 2109 nt
Organism: Prunus dulcis (almond)
Lineage: Eukaryota; Viridiplantae; Streptophyta; Magnoliopsida; Rosales; Rosaceae
Gene name: dynamin-related protein 4C-like
Exons: 3
Source: RefSeq, a predicted model, not a curated record
AUGGGAGGAAAGAAAAAAAACAAAUCAAGCGCCACCACUGCCAAUACGUCAGAAACAGGAGGAGGAAUGCAAACAAAAGCUGAUUCAAAAAGCAAAUUAUCCACCACCACCAUUUUAGAAGAUGAAGGCUCGUCCGCAGCACUAGUGGUUGAAGCCGAACAUGCUGUUGCUGUACCUCUCAAUGUUGCUGUGGAUGCACCCAUUGUGUCAUCUUACAACGAAAAAAUUCGUCCUUUGCUUGAUGCAGUUGACAAGCUCCGUAGCCUCAUGGUUAUGGAGGAAGGCAUUCAGUUCCCCACAAUUGUUGUUGUCGGAGACCAGUCAUCUGGCAAAUCUAGCGUUCUUGAAUCCCUUGCUGGAAUCAGUCUGCCACGUGGACAACGCAUCUGCACCAGGGUACCCCUCAUAAUGAGGCUUCAACACCAUGCACGUGCAGAACCAGAGCUUUCACUGGAGUACAAUGGCAGAGUUAAACAGGCUGAUGAGCUCAACAUUUCAAAAGAUAAUAUCAAUGCACUAAUGUCAUUGCUGGUGGAGGGGAAUUUCUAAAACCUUAUUGACUUUGUUGGUGAAAAAGAAUGGUGUGCCUGAUUUGACCACGGUUGAUCUCCCUGGAAUCACUAGGGUUCCUGUUCAUGGCCAGCCUGAGAAUAUUUAUGACCAAAUUAAGGAUAUGAUGGAGUAUAUAAAACCUGAACAGAGCAUCAUUUUAAAUGUGUUGUCUGCGACUGUGGAUUUUACUACUUGUGAAUCGAUUAGGAUGUCACAGAGUGUGGAUAAAACUGGUGAGAGGACUCUGGCUGUGGUUACAAUGGUUGAUAAAGCACCAGAGGGACUGCUAGAUAAGGUUACAACUGAUGAAGUCAAUAUUGGUCUUGGUUAUGUCCGCGUAAGGAACCCGAUUGGAGGUGAGACGUAUAAGGAAGCUCUAGCUAUUUCUGACCAACUAUUUCAAACUCAUCCUCUGCUUUCCAGGAUUGACGAAUCUAUAGUUGGAAUUCAUGUUUUGGCCCAAAAGUUGGUUCAAAUUCAAGCCUCUAGCAUAGCUAGAAACUUGCCGGAUAUUGUUAAGAAAAUUAAUGACAAGCUGAGUUCCUGCCUUUCAGAGCUCGACAAAAUGCCAAAGAAAUUGUCAUCUGUUGCUGAUGCCAUGACAGCUUUCAUCAACAUCAUUGGAGUGUCCAAAGAAUCACUUAGGAAAAUUCUUAUUAGAGGAGAAUUUGACGAGUACCAAAAUGAAAAGCACAUGCAUUGCACGGCCAGGCUUGUAGAAAUGCUCAAUCAGUAUGCUGAUGAACUUCAUAAGGCCAAUGAAAGUGAUCCCAAAAGUAACUUCUUAACGGAGGAGAUUAAGGUUUUGGAAGAAGCGAAAGAUAUUAGUCUUCCCAAUUUUCUUCCCCACAAUGUCUUUCUAUUUUGCAGGGAAAAGUGAGGGGAAUUUCAAGUAUACCCAUUAGGUUUCUUGAGGCUAAAGUGUUUCACAAUAUUGGGGAUGUGGUGAUUUCUGUGUUAAUGCAUGACACACAAGGCUAUUAUCAUCUUCAUAUGGCUACCAGAAGAGCUGGCCAUAAUCUUAUAUCCAAGAUGAAAGAAAGGUCAAACAGCUGGAUCUUGGAGAUUGUGGAAAUGGAGAAACGUACAGAUUUCACGUGUAAUCCUGAAUAUGUAUCUGAAUGGAAUAGGCUCAUGAAAAAACAGAAGGCAUUCAUAGAUGGAGUCUUGAAGGAUGAGCAACGGCCCUCUAAGAUGGACAUAGAGGGUAUUGGGGAGAUUGAAUUUGAAGGUCUAAGGAAGCACACUCAUGUUGAUCUAUCUCAACCUUUUGACUUGAAAAUGCGGAUGACUGCGUAUUGGAAGGUUGUUCUGAGAAGGUUGGUUGAUUGCAUGGCCUUGCAUUUGCAGCUGACUGUUGCAAACCUUGUGAACAAAGAAAUGGAGUUGGAGAUUGGUUGUGAGUUAAUGGGAGCAAAUCACGGCGUUGGGAUUGAGAGGAUGCUGGAGGAAGCUCCAUCAGUUGCAGUCAAGCGCUAGAAGCUCAACAAGAGCAUCAAAAAGCUCAAGGAUUCUAAGGAGGUGGUUGGUAAGAUCAUGGAUACUUAUGCUGGUUAA